Molecule: long non-coding RNA, 244 nt
Filed under: Carica papaya (papaya)
Lineage: Eukaryota; Viridiplantae; Streptophyta; Magnoliopsida; Brassicales; Caricaceae
Description: long non-coding RNA (CPAP_LNC010239)
Source: RNAcentral
AGUGGUCACACCACGGACGUUCACUCUUCCCACGAGAAUCAUGCAUUCAGGUUGUAAGUGCAGAAGCAUUUUCAAUCAUGUGGGUGGAUUAUGUCUCUCCCAUCAUCACCUUCUUUCGGCUUUCUUCUCGACGAAUCUCGGAGAACAUUUCUCGGAUGCUCAAUAAUGGUUUAAUUCAUAAUACUCGUCCUCGUACCUCAUCCAGAUUCUUGUUUAAUCCCAUUAGAAACUUGAAGAUCCUUUU